UACGGGGGGGGCUAGCGUUGUUCGGAAUUACUGGGCGUAAAGCGCGCGCAGGUGGGUGCGUAAGUCGGAGGUGAAAGCGCAGGGCUCAACCCUGCGACGCCCUUCGAGACUGCGUGUCUAGGGACCGGUAGAGGUGAGUGGAAUUCCCGGUGUAGCGGUGGAAUGCGUAGAUAUCGGGAAGAACACCGGAGGCGAAGGCGGCUCACUGGGCCGGAUCCGACACUGAGGCGCGAAAGCGUGGGGAGCAAACAGG
This 253-nucleotide ribosomal RNA is filed under the name uncultured bacterium. RNAcentral describes it as "partial 16S ribosomal RNA". It matches the Rfam family "Bacterial small subunit ribosomal RNA", at positions 524 to 776 of the family's 1533-position model. The record is from RNAcentral.